GACGAACGCUGGCGGCGUGCUUAACACAUGCAAGUCGAACGGAAAGGCCCUGCUUUUGUGGGUUGCUCGAGUGGCGAACGGGUGAGUAACACGUGAGUAACCUGCGCUUGACUUUGGGAUAACUUCAGGCAACUGGGGCUAAUACCGGAUAGGAGCUCCUGCUGCAUGGUGGGGGUUGGAUAGUUUCGGCGGUUGGGGAUGGACUCGCGGCUUAUCAGCUUGUUGGUGGGGUAGUGGCUUACCAAGGCUUUGACGGGUAGCCGGCCUGAGAGGGUGACCGGCCACAUUGGGACUGAGAUACGGCCCAGACUCCUACGGGAGGCAGCAGUGGGGAAUAUUGCACAAUGGGCGGAAGCCUGAUGCAGCAACGCCGCGUGCGGGAUGACGGCCUUCGGGUUGUAAACCGCUUUCGCCUGUGACGAAGCGUGAGUGACGGUAAUGGGUAAAGAAGCACCGGCUAACUACGUG
Molecule: ribosomal RNA, 468 nt
Filed under: uncultured bacterium
Lineage: Bacteria
Description: partial 16S ribosomal RNA
Rfam family: Bacterial small subunit ribosomal RNA
Source: RNAcentral